This 541-nucleotide ribosomal RNA is filed under the name uncultured Actinomycetes bacterium. RNAcentral describes it as "bacterial SSU rRNA". It matches the Rfam family "Bacterial small subunit ribosomal RNA", at positions 242 to 796 of the family's 1533-position model. Lineage: Bacteria; Bacillati; Actinomycetota; Actinomycetes. The record is from RNAcentral.
UCGCUUGUUGGUGAGGUAAUGGCUCACCAAGGCGACGACGGGUAGCCGGCCUGAGAGGGCGACCGGCCACACUGGGACUGAGACACGGCCCAGACUCCUACGGGAGGCAGCAGUGGGGAAUAUUGCACAAUGGGCGAAAGCCUGAUGCAGCGACGCCGCGUGAGGGAUGACGGCCUUCGGGUUGUAAACCUCUUUCAGCAGGGAAGAAGCGAAAGUGACGGUACCUGCAGAAGAAGCGCCGGCUAACUACGUGCCAGCAGCCGCGGUAAUACGUAGGGCGCAAGCGUUGUCCGGAAUUAUUGGGCGUAAAGAGCUCGUAGGCGGUCUGUCGCGUCGGAUGUGAAAGCCCGGGGCUUAACCCCGGGUCUGCAUUCGAUACGGGCAGACUAGAGUGUGGUAGGGGAGAUCGGAAUUCCUGGUGUAGCGGUGAAAUGCGCAGAUAUCAGGAGGAACACCGGUGGCGAAGGCGGAUCUCUGGGCCAUUACUGACGCUGAGGAGCCAAAGCGUGGGGACGAACAGGAUUAGAUACCCUGGUAGUCC